This 72-nucleotide transfer RNA is filed under the name Phrynosoma platyrhinos (Desert horned lizard). RNAcentral describes it as "tRNA-OTHER". The record is from RNAcentral. Lineage: Eukaryota; Metazoa; Chordata; Lepidosauria; Squamata; Phrynosomatidae.
GCCAGUGUGGUAUAAUGGUUUCAGUGCUGGACUAUGACCCUGGAGACCAGGGUCCAAUUCCCUGCUCAGACA